Molecule: transfer RNA, 73 nt
Filed under: Haploplasma axanthum
Lineage: Bacteria; Bacillati; Mycoplasmatota; Mollicutes; Acholeplasmatales; Acholeplasmataceae
Also listed under: 1 other name
Description: Acholeplasma axanthum tRNA
Rfam family: tRNA
About the family: Transfer RNA (tRNA) molecules are approximately 80 nucleotides in length. Their secondary structure includes four short double-helical elements and three loops (D, anti-codon, and T loops).
Source: Rfam by way of RNAcentral
GCCGAAAUAGCUCAAUUGGUAGAGCAACUGACUUGUAAUCAGUAGGUUGCGGGUUCAAUUCCUGUUUUCGGCA